ACAGCAGUAGCCACGGUAAUACGUAGGUGGCAAGCGUUGUCCGGAUUUAUUGGGCGUAAAGCGAGCGCAGGCGGUUUCUUAAGUCUGAUGUGAAAGCCCCCGGCUCAACCGGGGAGGGUAAUUGGAAACUGGGAGACUUGAGUGCAGAAGAGGAGAGUGGAAUUCCAUGUGUAGCGGUGAAAUGCGUAGAUAUAUGGAGGAACACCAGUGGCGAAGGCGGCUCUCUGGUCUGUAACUGACGCUGAGGCUCGAAAGCGUGGGGAGCGAACAGGAUUAGAUACCCCCGUAGUCCCUGUCUCUUAUAC
Molecule: ribosomal RNA, 305 nt
Filed under: uncultured bacterium
Lineage: Bacteria
Description: partial 16S ribosomal RNA
Rfam family: Bacterial small subunit ribosomal RNA
Source: RNAcentral